Molecule: long non-coding RNA, 1900 nt
Organism: Cyprinus carpio carpio
Lineage: Eukaryota; Metazoa; Chordata; Actinopteri; Cypriniformes; Cyprinidae
Source: Ensembl
CAUGGUAUGAAAAUGAUCUCUGCAAAACACUGGCAGUGUGAACGAGGCUUGAGAGAGUGAGGGUGCAGGCACGCCGUGUAGCCAGAUCCAUUUAUUUUAAGCAUCUUUGGACUCGUCUUUUCUACUUUAGAAAGUUCAUAAAGCGGGAAGUUGCAGUUUAGAGAUAAGAUCUUUAGUUAUUAUCUGUCAGAAACUUUAUCAACGCUAUCGCUAUUUCAACAUGGAACGAUCUUUAUUCAUCCAAAUAAAGACACAUAGGAUCAAGACACACACGUAGCAGGGAGAUAGACAAAAGCAGCAGACCAAGAAACUCAUGGGAAUGGGACUCACUAUAAAUACACAGGACUGAUGAGGGGAAGAGGAGGAACACCUGGAACUAAUGGAAACACAUAGGAAACACCUGGGAUUAAAUCAAAGACCCGGGUGACAGAAACUGGGUCACAGGGGUAAAACAAAACAAAAAACAAACACAAACCAUGGAACAGUGUUUAACAUUACUUCCCCCUCCCGGAAGGUGUGACCUUGCGCCCCCCCCUCCACAAAAAAAAAAAUUCUUGGGGAAAACUAGGCACUUGCACGCGCUCUGAAGAAGUGGGCACUUAAGCGAGCUCUGGGGCUGGAGGCAACACUGGGACUGACACUGGAGCUAACUAGAGAUCCGUUGCCCUUCCUGGGUAGAACUGGGAAUCUGGAGCCCACCCUGGGCUCACCAGGGAAUCAGGAGCCCUCCUUGGGGUUAAAGGGGAAAUCAAGAAAUGGGGAAUCAGGAGCCCUCCAUGGGCUUUAUGGGGAAUCUUUGGACCUCCCUGGGCUCAACAGGGAACCAGGAGCCCUCCCUGGGGUUAACGGGGAAUCUGGAACCUUCCCUGGGCUUAACUGGGGAUCAGGAGCCCAUCCUGGGCUUAACUCAGGAACAGGAGCCCAUCCUGGGCUAGACUGGGGAUCGGGAGCCCUUCCUGGGCUUUGCUCUGGGGCUAGGCCGACACUGUUCUUCUCACCCCUAGUUUCCUCUGCUGGAUGGGAGGGGGGGAAGGUGUGGUCUGGGCCAACACUGGAGCAAACUCUGGAAGGCGCUUUUGAGGAGCAGGAACUGGAGGGCGCUCUGGAAGGCGCUUAUGAGGAGCAGGCACUGGAGUGAACUAUGGGGCUGGCAGGCUUGCCACAUUAAUGUUCGUUGGGCUUGCCAUAUUAAUGUUCAUUGGGCUUGCUAUAUUAAUGGCCGGUGAACUUGGGUGAGCCACGGAAGUAUGCGGGUGUGGGUUAGCCUCGGACGGUGGCAGGCUUGACUUUGGAGCUGCUGGCAGAUGGGUCCCGGAUCGGGGGCUCUCCAGACACCAGAUGACUGCCUCCUUCCAGCCGAGGUUGGUGGUGUCUUGGAGCUCCGCGGGUUGAUGGUACAUCAUCCCGAAUCUGGAACAGUGACUCUAGGGUUUCCACCUUGAGGGAGCUGGCGAGGGCUUUUGGCACAAACGCCUACGUGAACACGAUUGGGCUGGGGCUCGCCUGAGCCACGGCGAUAAAUAAGGCUUGUUCCUCCAUUUAGGGACGUGGAGGAACACACGGGGGAAAAAAAACAACACUUUUAGGAAAACGGAAAAUAAAGGCAGGGAGAGGGGGCGCCGCUUACAGUUGGGUCUGCUGUUCUGUAACGAUUCGGCUACUGCCAAUGUGUAGGAACGAGGAAUCGAGAAGACUUCAACAUGGAACCGUCUUUUUUUCAUCCAAAUAAAGAGACAUAGGAGCAAGACACACCAUAGCAGGGAGAACAGACGUAUAACAGCAGACCAAGAAACUAGGAAUGGGACUCACUAUAAAUACACAGGACUGAUGAGGGGAAGACGAGGAACACCUGGAACUAAUGGAAACACAUAGGAAACACCUGGGAUUAAAUCAAAGUUGC